RNAcentral lists this ribosomal RNA (666 nucleotides) under uncultured bacterium. RNAcentral's name for it is "bacterial SSU rRNA". It matches the Rfam family "Bacterial small subunit ribosomal RNA", at positions 93 to 740 of the family's 1533-position model. The record is from RNAcentral.
GAGUGGCGAACGGGUGAGUAACACGUGGGUGAUCUACCUUCGAGUGGGGGAUAACGUCCCGAAAGGGACGCUAAUACCGCAUGACAUCCUGCCCUUGAACGGGUGGAGAUCAAAGCUGGGGAUCGCAAGACCCGGCGCUUGAAGAGGGGCCCGCGUCCGAUUAGCUAGUUGGUGAGGUAAUGGCUCACCAAGGCGACGAUCGGUAUCCGGCCUGAGAGGGCGGACGGACACACUGGGACUGAGACACGGCCCAGACUCCUACGGGAGGCAGCAGUGGGGAAUUGUUCACAAUGGGCGCAAGCCUGAUGACGCAACGCCGCGUGGAGGAUGAAGGUCUUCGGAUUGUAAACUCCUGUUGCCAGGGACGAAUGGCUCCGACCUAACACGUCGGAGAAUGACGGUACCUGGUGAGGAAGCCCCGGCUAACUCUGUGCCAGCAGCCGCGGUAAUACAGAGGGGGCGAGCGUUGUUCGGAAUUACUGGGCGUAAAGGGCGCGUAGGCGGCCUUCUAAGUCGAACGUGAAAUCCCCGGGCUCAACCCGGGAACUGCGUCCGAUACUGGGAGGCUUGAAUCCGGGAGAGGGAUGUGGAAUUCCAGGUGUAGCGGUGAAAUGCGUAGAUAUCUGGAGGAACACCGGUGGCGAAGGCGGCAUCCUGGACCGGUAU